CUUAAAGCUAAAUUAAGUAACAUUUGCAAAACAUUGUCAUAAAGCUGCAUUUGCACUCAUAAUACGGAAUUUCUACAGCCGUUGGCAAAAUUGCUCUGCAUCUUGGUAUAACAAUAAACAUAGAUUAAAGAGGCUAAUUUCCUACUUAUUUUUGUUAAAAAAUAUAAUAAUAAUAAAAUACAGAAAAUAGCACUAAGUAUUGAACUUUCCUAUUUGAGCCUAUUAUGUUGGCUCCCAAGAGUUAUUUACAGCCCUUGGACUUCUGCUUUCACCAUUACUCUGUGUUUCUGAAGCUACCAAGUGAUCAAUUGCAACAGGAGACUGUAACACCCCAAAACUGAUGAGUGGGAUGAAAGAUGUACUUUCCCCAUGGACUCCCUCCCCCAGCCUUUCAUCCCUCAUUCCCCAGCUGCCUUUUCAAGCCAUGCCUUCUCCUGAUCUGCCCCCCCUUCCCAGGCAUGCAUCACCAGCAGCCCUUGACAUUGCCAGCACUUUUGACCCCAUCUCUUGCUCCCUGCAUAACUGGUGGUCUCCUCUCCUCCACAGCAGAAGAACACAGACAAGUAUAUGGUAUGUACAAGUGUCACAUUUCUUCUGGACUACAGCAGCUAAAGUCAGUUUUGGUCUUUGGUUGGAGCCUAUCAUAAUUGCCUUAUUCCUAGUUUAUAGAUGCACCAAAUGAAUACACUACAACAAGAGCGGACACUUCACUUGUUAGCGAGAAGUGCCAUCCAAUUCUACAGCACUUGCAAACAGUGCACAGGAAAAGAAUUAGCAAUUUUGCUCACCAGAAUCUCUCUCUGCGACAACAGAAAGUCAGACAUGCACGAUUUUACAUGGUGUGCAUUGACCUAUGGGACUAGAAAUUUCAUAUGGCUAUUGAAGAUAUUAAUUUAGUCAAACCUUUCUCUGUCAAAGGAUAUUGCAAGUCUUCACUUUUCUGCUAUGCAGCUUGUGAGCAGAAUGCUUUCAGUGAUGGGGUGCCCCUUUGAAAAUCUAAACGAAGCUCAGAGUGACAAGAAUGACAUCUGCUGAAUGUAAUGGUAAGAAGAGAAAAAAAGAAAAUACAUCAGAGCAACAUUUGGAUUUCUUUUCCAUUGCAGGUGGAAGGAAAUGGGACAGAGAGAAAACAAAACAAAACAAAACAAAAAAAACACCUGCAGAAUCAGGAAGUUUAUUGUUGUUGUUGUUGUUGUUGUUUUAAAAAAAAGCUAGUUAAUAUGAUUAAUAAUAUACUUUGUCAAAAAGAAAAAUAAAGGAAAAAAUGCAGAUUGCCGACUGCUUUAG
This 1287-nucleotide long non-coding RNA is filed under the name Anas platyrhynchos platyrhynchos (common mallard). RNAcentral describes it as "lncRNA (ENSAPLG00000021951.1)". Lineage: Eukaryota; Metazoa; Chordata; Aves; Anseriformes; Anatidae. The record is from RNAcentral.